This 660-nucleotide ribosomal RNA is filed under the name uncultured bacterium. Its description in RNAcentral is "bacterial SSU rRNA". It matches the Rfam family "Bacterial small subunit ribosomal RNA", at positions 94 to 788 of the family's 1533-position model. The record is from RNAcentral.
AGUGGCGGACGGGUGAGUAACGCGUGAGAAUCUGCCUUGGGGUCGGGGACAACCACUGGAAACGGUGGCUAAUACCGGAUAAGCCGAUUGGUGAAAGAUUUAUUGCCCGAAGAGGAGCUCGCGUCUGAUUAGCUAGUUGGUGAGGUAAGAGCUCACCAAGGCAGCGAUCAGUAGCUGGUCUGAGAGGACGAUCAGCCACACUGGGACUGAGACACGGCCCAGACUCCUACGGGAGGCAGCAGUGGGGAAUUUUCCGCAAUGGGCGAAAGCCUGACGGAGCAAGACCGCGUGAGGGAGGAAGGCUCUUGGGUUGUAAACCUCUUUUCUCAGGGAAGAAGCUUUGACGGUACCUGAGGAAUCAGCCUCGGCUAACUCCGUACCAGCAGCCGCGGUAAUACGGAGGAGGCAAGCGUUAUCCGGAAUUAUUGGGCGUAAAGCGUCCGCAGGUGGCGAUUCAAGUCUGCUGUCAAAGCACGGGGCUUAACUCCGUAAAGGCAGUGGAAACUGAAUAGCUAGAGUGCCGUAGGGGUAGAGGGAAUUCCCGGUGUAGCGGUGAAAUGCGUAGAGAUCGGGAAGAACAUCGGUGGCGAAAGCGCUCUACUGGACGGCAACUGACACUCAGGGACGAAAGCUAGGGGAGCGAAUGGGAUUAGAUACCCC